Molecule: long non-coding RNA, 1109 nt
Organism: Mytilus californianus (California mussel)
Lineage: Eukaryota; Metazoa; Mollusca; Bivalvia; Mytilida; Mytilidae
Exons: 2
Source: RefSeq, a predicted model, not a curated record
CAGUUUACAUACUUUAAUUUAUUUACCAAAAAGAUAUCUUGACCUGUGCAUAAGUUUUUUGUUAUUAAAUGGUAUUUGGAGCUAUCCCUUUGUUAUAUUUUUCAUAUUUACAUGAUAAAUAGAUCCGUUUUGUUAUGGUGUUGGACUUUUUACCCUCCAAUGAUCAGCAAUCGCUAGACAAAAUAGUUCUCCUAAAUAAUGUCAGCCUUUCAUGCCAUUUCAACUUUACAAUCAUUAAAAAAAGUGAAAAUCGGAAUCAUUUUGAUAUCCAUUGGAUAGAAACUGGUCUUUAUCCAGAUUUACGAAGAUUUUAAAAAUCGGAAAUUAGUAAUACGGUUAUACCCACGCGGUGCGUAUGAAUCUUUGUUUACAAAACAGGAUUUCGGAACGUCUCUAGUUUUUAGAUCGUAAGUCACGAUAAACUCAAACUGAAAGUAAACAGUUGUUUGUAAGACGCAGGUUUACUCACCAUAAACAAGAUGAAACGUUCAGUAUGGCAUAUAUUUUAGGUUAAAGACGGUCCCAUUCAUUUAAAAAGCAUUUUGAAAGUAGACGAUGGGAUUAUUUCAGGUUUGGGGAACGAGUAUAUUAUCACAAAGUUCAUUUCUUGACGACCUCAUAAUUUCAUCAUGUCGAUUGUACAAAUCGAUUUUUACUGUUUACUGUCGCUUCUCAUGUUUUGUAUUUAAACGGUCGUUUAUUUUUAAACCCGAACCAGGCAUAUGCAUUCUGUAAUUGUGCAAAUCUUCGUUCUUUGGUCAAUUGGCUUAUGGAUAGUUGUAUCAAUUUCAACUCUUACAUUAUUAUUUUUUUUAAAUAUAUUUGCAUUACACAUGCAAUGGCAGUACCUUUCCAAUUACAAUUUAUGUGUUGUGUCUAAAUUAAAGUUGUAACACUUUAUAGUGACUGGAAAGGGUAGAAAAAUUCAUCAGAUGAGAAAAGGCUGAAGAUACUUCAAACGGCACCGAAUCAUUAGAUAUUGCAUCUUAUAAAAAGAAACUGAGAUUUGGAUAGUUCCACUUCAAGGUAAAAAUGUUUAUCUCUUGUGAAAUGAAAUAAAAAAAAUAUUGUAACACUGUAGUUAAUUAAUAAAGAUACUAUUACGUGUA